CUCACUGUCGUAUGUUCCUCUUCUCUCUCAAAUGCUCUUAACCUAAACUCUAAUCUUUAAACGUCGUGACUCACCUACUGCUCUCUUAUAGUGGUUCUUAACCACCCCAGGCUUCUAAUGGCCUCUUUAUUGCUAUGUCGCUUCCAUUUUUGGAUCCUUGAAGAGAUCCUCAUGGGACCUAGGCAGUCUGUUACGCCUUGGGCGUUCUUGCUGGUUUCAUGCUAUUUAGCUUGAUCUUGAGUGAGAUCUUUCUUAUUUUAUCGUCUUGGAUCUGUGGUUUUCUAAGUAUGUGCAUG
This 296-nucleotide long non-coding RNA is filed under the name Nicotiana benthamiana. RNAcentral's name for it is "long non-coding RNA (NBEN_LNC009553)". Lineage: Eukaryota; Viridiplantae; Streptophyta; Magnoliopsida; Solanales; Solanaceae. The record is from RNAcentral.